UACGGAGGAUGCGAGCGUUAUCCGGAUUUAUUGGGUUUAAAGGGUGCGUAGGCGGCUUUUUAAGUCAGCGGUGAAAUUUUGCAGCUGAACUGUAACAGUGCCGUUGAUACUGGGGAGCUAGGAUUUGGUUGCUGUGGGUGGAAUGUGUGGUGUAGCGGUGAAAUGCUUAGAGAUCACACAGAAUAUCGAUUGCGAAGGCAGCUCACAAAGCCAAGAUUGACGCUGAGGCACGAAAGUGUGGGGAUCAAACAGGAUUA
This 257-nucleotide ribosomal RNA is filed under the name uncultured prokaryote. RNAcentral describes it as "partial 16S ribosomal RNA". It matches the Rfam family "Bacterial small subunit ribosomal RNA", at positions 524 to 780 of the family's 1533-position model. The record is from RNAcentral.